This 497-nucleotide ribosomal RNA is filed under the name uncultured bacterium. Its description in RNAcentral is "partial 16S ribosomal RNA". It matches the Rfam family "Bacterial small subunit ribosomal RNA", at positions 28 to 507 of the family's 1533-position model. The record is from RNAcentral.
GAUGAACGCUGGCGGCGUGCCUAAUACAUGCAAGUCGAGCGAACAGACGAUGAGCUUGCUCCUCUGACGUUAGCGGCGGACGGGUGAGUAACACGUGGAUAACCUACCUAUAAUACUGGUAUAACUUCGGGAAACCGGAGCUAAUACCGGAUAAUAUAUUGAACCGCAUGGUUCAAUAGUGAAAGACGGUUUUGCUGUCACUUAUAGAUGGAUCCGCGCCGCAUUAGCUAGUUGGUAAGGUAACGGCUUACCAAGGCGACGAUGCGUAGCCGACCUGAGAGAGUGAUCGGCCACACUGGAACUGAGACACGGUCAAGACUCCUACGGGAGGGAGCAGUAGGGAAUCUUCCGCAAUGGGCGAAAGCAUGACGGAGCAACGGCGAGUGAGUGAUGAAGGUCUUCGGAUCGUAAAACUCUGUUAUUAGGGAAGAACAAAUGUGUAAGUAACUAUGCACGUAUUGACGGUACCUAAUAAGAAAGCCACGGCUAACUACGUG